This 253-nucleotide ribosomal RNA is filed under the name uncultured bacterium. RNAcentral's name for it is "partial 16S ribosomal RNA". It matches the Rfam family "Bacterial small subunit ribosomal RNA", at positions 524 to 776 of the family's 1533-position model. The record is from RNAcentral.
UACAGAGGGUGCGAGCGUUGUCCGGAAUUACUGGGCGUAAAGGGCGCGUAGGCGGCUUGAUAAGGUUGAGGUGAAAGCCCGGGGCUCAACCCCGGGUCGGCCGUGGCAACUGUCGAGCUGGAGCACUGUAGAGGCAGGUGGAAUUCCGGGUGUAGCGGUGGAAUGCGUAGAGAUCCGGAAGAACACCGGUGGCGAAGGCGGCCUGCUGGGCAGUGGCUGACGCUGAGGCGCGACAGCUAGGGGAGCAAACAGG